Long non-coding RNA from Sorghum bicolor (sorghum), 764 nucleotides. RefSeq lists it as uncharacterized. The record is from RefSeq and is a predicted model, not a curated record. The transcript is spliced from 2 exons. NCBI's taxonomy places the organism in Eukaryota, Viridiplantae, Streptophyta, Magnoliopsida, Poales, Poaceae.
UGUCUACAAGAAUUUGUUUGAUUAUUUGGAUGAAUAAUUAUGUUCUCUGCAGAUUUUCCCAUUCAAUAUAUUAUGCCAGAACCUUUUUUUUAUUUUUGAUAUACAUGAUGUAGUUACUAUACUACAAAUACUAUUACUCUUUAGUGCAUCUGUUUGUGCAGCUGACAGAAUGCAGAAACUCUCAUACUACUUUCUUCACCCUCAAGAGCUUGUAGCUGCACUUGGCCUCCCAAGAGGCCCCUUCAAUGGAGACUACUAUUGUUAUAUAAGGAAUAAGGAACGAGGUGAUGGAUCAACCCUUUCAAUGAAGAUCUUGUACCCUGAAUGAGGGCCGCCUAUGGCGGUCUGGCAUGGACUCGUCUGCACAUCUACAGCGGUGAUAGCCAAGUCUCGCACGACGACGGUGGUGGCGGCGUGGAGGAUGCUGCAGUGCGGAAGCCGCGGGUGCAUGGUGCAGCAGCGGCACGGAGGCAGUUUUGAGAAUGGUGCUAAGGCUUCACACACAGCAUCGGUGCGGUGGCCGUUCGUGGGUGGCAUUGAAGCAAUUUUUAGUAGUCUGUUAGCUAAUGCUAAGGUAGAGAAAUGAGAGGAGAGAGAAGAGAAGUAUACUGUUAGUUUACAACCGGCUUAGAUAUAAGAAUCAAUAGACUUUAUGAGAGAGAUAGGUGAGUUAUGUACAUACUCUCUCCAUACUCUAGGAAGUUGUUUUGGACAAAGUUCGGGUCAAACAUUGGAAAUAUAAAUCAUGAAUAACUUUUAAGUUA